GGGGAUUUAGCUCAACGGUAGAGCAUUUGCCUAGCAAGCGCAAGGCCCUGGGUUCGGUCCCCAGCUCCG
Molecule: transfer RNA, 69 nt
Filed under: Rattus norvegicus (Norway rat)
Lineage: Eukaryota; Metazoa; Chordata; Mammalia; Rodentia; Muridae
Rfam family: tRNA
About the family: Transfer RNA (tRNA) molecules are approximately 80 nucleotides in length.
Source: Rfam by way of RNAcentral